RNAcentral lists this ribosomal RNA (501 nucleotides) under uncultured bacterium. Its description in RNAcentral is "partial 16S ribosomal RNA". It matches the Rfam family "Bacterial small subunit ribosomal RNA", at positions 30 to 523 of the family's 1533-position model. The record is from RNAcentral.
AUUGAACGCUGGCGGCAGGCUUAACACAUGCAAGUCGAGCGGGGGUAGGUAGCUUGCUACCGGACCUAGCGGCGGACGGGUGAGUAAUGCUUAGGAAUCUGCCUAUUAGUGGGGGACAACAUCUCGAAAGAGAUGCUAAUACCGCAUACGUCCUACGGGAGAAAGCAGGGGAUCGUCGGACCUUGCGCUAAUAGAUGAGCCUAAGUCGGAUUAGCUAGUUGGUGGGGUAAAGGCCUACCAAGGCGACGAUCUGUAGCGGGUCUGAGAGGAUGAUCCGCCACACUGGGACUGAGACACGGCCCAGACUCCUACGGGAGGCAGCAGUGGGGAAUAUUGGACAAUGGGGGGAACCCUGAUCCAGCCAUGCCGCGUGUGUGAAGAAGGCCUUAUGGUUGUAAAGCACUUUAAGCGAGGAGGAGGCUACUCUAGUUAAUACCUAGGGAUAGUGGACGUUACUCGCAGAAUAAGCACCGGCUAACUCUGUGCCAGCCGCCGCAGUAA